AACGAACGCUGGCGGCAUGCCUAACACAUGCAAGUCGAACGAGACCUUCGGGUCUAGUGGCGCACGGGUGCGUAACGCGUGGGAACCUGCCCUUAGGUUCGGAAUAACUCCCCGAAAGGGGUGCUAAUACCGGAUAAUGUCUUCGGACCAAAGAUUUUUCGCCUUUGGAUGGGCCCGCGUUGGAUUAGCUAGUUGGUAGGGUAAAAGCCUACCAAGGCGACGAUCCAUAGCUGGUCUGAGAGGAUGAUCAGCCACACUGGGACUGAGACACGGCCCAGACUCCUACGGGAGGCAGCAGUGGGGAAUAUUGGACAAUGGGCGAAAGCCUGAACCAGCAAUGCCGCGUGAGUGAUGAAGGCCUUAGGGUUGUAAAGCUCUUUUACCCGGGAUGAUAAUGACAGUACCGGGAGAAUAAGCUCCGGCUAACUCCGUG
This 433-nucleotide ribosomal RNA is filed under the name uncultured bacterium. RNAcentral's name for it is "partial 16S ribosomal RNA". It matches the Rfam family "Bacterial small subunit ribosomal RNA", at positions 29 to 507 of the family's 1533-position model. The record is from RNAcentral.